UCUCUUGGACGGCACAACGAGAAAACUCAAUUUCCUCCACGUCUACGUUCCGCUCGACUUCAAUUCGAACCAAAAAAAUCUCCGACAGCCCCCACACCCCAUCAAACCCUAGAAAUCAUUUCUUUUUUGGGCAUCCGGAGGGCUCCUCCUUAUUUCUCCCUGCACUUUGUUCUCUCCAUUUGAUUCAAUUUCGUCCAUCAAAAGGUUAUGGAGUUCUACCAAAAGUUUAUGGAGUUCAAUGCAGGAGGAAUUAUCUGUAGACCUGAAAGAUGAAUUUAAGGCCAAAGAAGCCCGGAGAAAAGCUAUUGAAGAAAGGAGUGAAGAAGCUAAAGCGGCAUUUGGAAGUAUGAUGCAAGUUCUACUCUGUACUUACAUCAGAUACUCCUGACGUUUCAAAUACAGUAACUUCCAAUUUCUCCCCAAACUGAUAUUUUGGUUUUCUAUUGGUAAAUGUGAAAUCAGCUUGAUUUACGUUACAAGGUUGAGGGUUGAGGAUACUUGGCAAAUAACAGAAGUACGUAAUUUGUUGUCUAGCGUAUAUAAAACAAACCAUGGAAUGAGAGUGUCGUUUGGCUCCAAGUUUUUAAAUUAAUGUACGAAUGGUUUUCUUAUUUUAACUUGCCAAAUGCAUAAAUAAAUAGAUUAUUCUGUAGUAUUUCGCUAUGGUGGUAUUAAUUUUCUGUUUUUUUUUGUUUUUUUUAAACCAAAAGAUAAGAGGUCUGUUUUUUUUGUUUUUGAGUACAUCGUAUUUUUACACUAAGGGGAGGGGGAGUUUGGCUAAACCACACAAAAGACAGCCUAAUUUAGUAUCGAAUUCGUCAUCCAAGAGAUUCAAACCUAAGACCUUUCACUUCCAAAUGAAAAUGAAUACCACCAGACUGAAGUAUUGAGUGUGUUGUUCUAAUUUUAGAUGGCUUAAUCUGGCAUAUUCUAUCAUUUUCAUGUCUAAUUAGGUACUAAUGUUUCUACUUUAUGUGUUCUGUAAAUUUUUUGUCAUGAGUUAUUACUUACAAGGAAAUGCUUGAGUUUGCAAUUCAACCCUUAGAUUUAAUGUAAUUGUAUUUUAUCGUGUUUCUGAAGAAAUCUACAUACGGUGAAUUAUUUCUGGGGACAUCUAUAUACGGUGAACUUUGACAAUAAAUUACUAGCCUUCCUAUCGAUUUCUUAUAAUUAAUUUGGAAUGGUUGGUUUCAACGGCCAACUGAGAAGGAAGGAAUGAGAUAUAGCCAAUGAAUUAGGGAGCUCAUUAUCGAUUAUUGGCCUGAUGUAAGUACUCCACUUUAUGUUUUUCUAUCUACCCCAUUUUUUCUUCUUUUGUUUAAAACAAAAAUCUUAGUUCUAAUAAAAAUAUUAACCUCUUUAACACUUAGCAUAUGAAUUUUUUUUUUUGUCAACAAUAGAUUUUGUUAGAUUAGCCAACGACGGAAUUUAAACUCACGUCAUCAUGUAAAAGCUUAACUCAUUUUCACCACUGUGAUAAAAAGUCACUUGCCAUUUAGUAUAUGGAUGAAUUGGCCCAAACUAGAGUUACUAUAUUUUAUGCCUCUUUUCUUUCUAUUUUUGGACUCAAAGAGGUAUUUAAUAUGUCAUAGAAGGUCAAAGGCCUUUGCUUUAAUUUCCAAAUCAUCAAAUUGAAUGUGCUUAUGUAAUCUUAAUAUUGAUUUUAUUUUUCUUUUUUCUUUUUUCUUUUUAUUAAGGAAACUUUAACGAAAAUUUCUCGGUACCGUUUACUAUAACAAAAAAUUAUAUUUUUACAUUAAAAAGUCAAUUAUAGUAUUAUUCACUUUACCCUUUAUUUUGUCAUCAUUGUUAAAACUCAAAGUUUUCAAAUCAUUUUCAUUAGUUUUCGCUUUUAUUUAUUAGUAUUUGACUCUUCUCCUAUUCUCCCUUUUGACCCUUUUAAUCUUCUUUUUUUUUUCGAUUUUGAUAAUUAUUCAAAUGAAAUUAAUUAAUAAGUUGGAUUUUAUAUUAAUUUAAUCUAUAAAUUUUGUAAAAUAUGCAUGGGAGUUCAAAGUCGGGAGGGGUACGCACAUAUUAAACAUAUGUAUCUCAGUUAGAUUGUAGAUUUUGUAUGUAAAUAAUAUGUAUCUCAAUCAGAUUGUAGAUUUUGUGUGAUUUUUAAUAGGAUUAUCAAAUCUUUUCUAUGUUAAUAGUAUGUAAUACACAUCAAGUAUUAUAUUUUGUAUAUAAAUAGUACUAGAUACAAAGUUUUUGUAUGAUUUUCAACCCCAUAGUAUCACGCGGGGUAUUCCUUGUUAUACUUAUUAUCUAUUCUAAAAUUGAGGAGUAAUUGACUGUUCAUUCGGCUACAGUCAAUUGUUUGCCUCUUGAUUUCAUCUUAUUUACAAUAAAACCAUGAGAUUUGGGCUGGGUUUGAAGGGUAUUUAUUUGAACUGAGAAGGGUAAUUUUGUCCGGAGGGUUUAGGACGAAUUACCCCUUUAUUUCACCUUAUUUGCAAGAAACCCAUUAUAUGUGGACUAGGUUGGAAGGGCAAUUUUGUCCUGUCGGUUUUGGCUAAAUUUUGGGGUUGCCGUGUAGGGUUGCAUUUGCUGCCCUUCAUUGAUGGUUUCGGGGAAUUGAGGCUCUGACAGAGAGCGGAAGAAACACAGAGAGAGAGAGAGAGAGAGAGAGAGAGAGAGAGAUGCCGAUGGGAAGACAGCGCAGGGGAGAGGUAUGGGUGAUGGAUUUCAAAACUGGGAAAGUGGGUUUUGUCUUCUCGGUUUUGACUGAAUUCGAGGGUUGUUGUGUACAGUUUCAUUUGCUGUCCUUGAAUGAGGGUUUCGGGGGGAUGGAGACUCUGACAGAGAGCGAAAGAGAGAGAGAGAGAGAGAGAGAGAGAGAGAGAGAGAGAUGACGAUGGAAAGAGAGCGAAGGGGAGAGGUAUGAGUCAUGGAUUUCAGAAGUGGGAGAGUGGGGAUGGUCAGAGAAAACCAUACGGGUUAUCCGGAUCUACCGCUACAUGCCUGGAUUUCGAAAGAUAAGUGUUUUUUUAAUUUUUUUUUUUUCUAUCAGCUUAGAAAGAUAAGUGAUUUCGAAAGAUAAGUGGAUUAUUUUCGAAUUUUUUAGUGUGUUAGGUCAGAUUUUGGGGGAAUCAUCAGAGAUAUUAAUUUCCCUUAUUAGUUUGCUUUUCUCUCAUUUUGCACAUUCAUCUCUCUGUCUGCCUGUUUGUUCUCUGUCUUAAGGUCGGUUCUUUUUUUUUUUUUUUUUUUUUUUGGGGUUUUUUGUAUGGCUUUUUUUUUCUUUUUGUUUUCCAGGUUAUAGAUCUAAUGCUCUUUUGUAUACCAAUCUUGGUUUUGUUUUUCUUGGAAAAUUGUUUUUAUCUGAUUGUGGAUUCGUGGGUUUUAAUUUCUAUGGUUUGUUGCAGGUUGCAAAGCAAGAGGUUCUCACCUCAAGAUUCAGUUUAAGACCAUCAUGAGGAUCACCACACCCAUGAUCAUGUUCAUGAUCCUGGUGUUUCUUCUGUCAGCAUAGUUUGUGAAGGGAACUUAGAACUUGAAAAGGCUAACAUAUGGCUUGGUACACUGUUGUUGAAACGAAGUGAGGACAUAUAUCGUAUGAAAGGUCUUCUAUCAGUUCAAGGAAUGAAAAAGAGAUUUGUCUUCCAGGGUUUAGGUGCUCUGAAAAUGCCCACCCUUAUUUUUUUUUACACCAAGUGUAUAUGGCAACCCAGGCAUUCCAACUUGCUCAGGGAAAUACUUCAUUUAAGGAAAAGCCUGAAAUAAUGUUGUCAAGUGCUAUACUGAAGCUAUCAGAUUGAACAUGAUGUGUGCAACUUAGAUUACAACCAUGCAAUUGCUUACUUGGAGUUUCUAAUUCACAAACUGAGUGAAGGUCACAAUAAGUAUUAGUCACUACGAGAGUGUUGGACUAUCCUCAUUCUGGAACCAGGUUUAAGAGGCCCCUGACAAUGACAUUGAAACGGUAUCAGUAGUUCCUCUCUUUUUAAUGGAGUGAUUCCCUUUCUUGGGCAUGUAAAAUCUUGGUGUCUGUAAAUAUACACAUCACAUGACUUUUAACACAAGUCUUGCUUCUAUCAUUUGAUGUUACAGUGGAUUUAUUCUCUACGAUUCUCUGGUUAGGGUAAGCAUUUUGGUGAGCUUUGAUUUUGUGAGGGUAAGCUCUUAAUCUUUCCUCUAUCGUUUUGUAGUUCAUCCUAUUGUUUUAAUUUAGAGCUAUUUUAAUGCUUUUAUGUUUGUUGUUCCGUGCUGGGAAAUUGGAAAGCUCUGGAAACAAUAUAGUUCUUGAGCUAAUGUGAAGAUUUUGGGUUGAACAUUGUGCUGUGAAGAUAUUGGGUUUAAUAUUUGAUUUCGUUUUUCAUUUUGCACUUACAAAAACAGAGGAUUGUGGUUAAUUAUUGUGAUGUGAAGCUUCUAUUUGAUGUCGACUUAAUGAGUAGCGAUGUAAAUUAAACUACGUAUUUUAUGGAUCAAUUCACAUAUCUCUUGCUUUUUCUUUCA
Molecule: long non-coding RNA, 4458 nt
Organism: Pyrus x bretschneideri (Chinese white pear)
Lineage: Eukaryota; Viridiplantae; Streptophyta; Magnoliopsida; Rosales; Rosaceae
Exons: 10
Source: RefSeq, a predicted model, not a curated record